RNAcentral lists this ribosomal RNA (253 nucleotides) under uncultured bacterium. Its description in RNAcentral is "partial 16S ribosomal RNA". It matches the Rfam family "Bacterial small subunit ribosomal RNA", at positions 524 to 776 of the family's 1533-position model. The record is from RNAcentral.
AACGGAGGGGGUUAGCGUUGUUCGGAAUGACUGGGCGUAAAGCGCGCGUAGGCGGACCUGCAAGUCGGGGGUGAAAUCCCGGGGCUCAACCCUGGAAUGGCCUUCGAGACUGCCGGUCUUGAGUUCGAGAGAGGUGGGUGGAAUUCCGAGUGUAGAGGUGAAAUGCGUAGAGAUGUGGAGGAACACCAGUGGCGAAGGCGGCUUUCUGGUCUGUAACUGACGCUGAGGCGCGAAAGCGUGGGGAGCAAACAGG